RNAcentral lists this ribosomal RNA (468 nucleotides) under uncultured bacterium. RNAcentral's name for it is "partial 16S ribosomal RNA". It matches the Rfam family "Bacterial small subunit ribosomal RNA", at positions 28 to 507 of the family's 1533-position model. The record is from RNAcentral.
GACGAACGCUGGCGGCGUGCUUAACACAUGCAAGUCGAACGGAAAGGCCCUGCUUUUGUGGGGUGCUCGAGUGGCGAACGGGUGAGUAACACGUGAGUAACCUGCCCUUGACUUUGGGAUAACUUCAGGAAACUGGGGCUAAUACCGGAUAUGAGCUCCUGCUGCAUGGUGGGGGUUGGAAAGUUUCGGCGGUUGGGGAUGGACUCGCGGCUUAUCAGCUUGUGGGUGGGGUAGUGGCUUACCAAGGCUUUGACGGGUAGCCGGCCUGAGAGGGUGACCGGCCACAUUGGGACUGAGAUACGGCCCAGACUCCUACGGGAGGCAGCAGUGGGGAAUAUUGCACAAUGGGCGGAAGACUGAUGCAGCAACGCCGAGUGCGGGAUGACGGCCUUCGGGUUGUAAACCGCUUUCGCCUGUGACGAAGCGUGAGUGACGGUAAUGGGUAAAGAAGCACCGGCUAACUACGUG